RNAcentral lists this long non-coding RNA (777 nucleotides) under Anser brachyrhynchus (Pink-footed goose). RNAcentral describes it as "lncRNA (ENSABRG00000020625.1)". The record is from RNAcentral. Lineage: Eukaryota; Metazoa; Chordata; Aves; Anseriformes; Anatidae.
AUGCAUCCCAGAUGCAUGGUCUCAAAACCAUGCUCCCCUUCUGCAGUGGACACGACGAGGGUGAAGAUGCCUUGCCGUGUGCUGGGAUCACAGGUGCUACUACAGAUGGUACAGACGGCCAUCCCUGUCAUCUUGAGUUUGGUUCCCCAGACCUCGUUUGCUGUGGUUUUAGUGGAGGGACUCGUCGCUGGUUUGCCCAUGGAGAGGCUGCCUGUGAAACAGCUGCCGGGAACAAUUAGGGAAACUCAUUCUAUGGGAAACUCCUUCUAUUUUUGUAGGGAAAACAAUGCUGGAGAGAGGGGCCAGGGUUUGCUCCCAGUCUGCAUUGGUAAGAGCUUAAAACAGGAAGGGGGAAAAUGCUGAAGUCCUCUUCUGCUUACCCCGCAGUCUCUGAGUUUUGCCAUUAGUUUCCAAUGAGCCAACACUGGAAACACUCGUAAAACAACUUUUUUUUUCAAGUUUUUCUUUUCUAUUUUCUUUUUUUCAAUAAGUGCCAUCAAUUCCGUGUUUCACACAUGCCGACAUGGAUUACUACUUGCUCACCUGAAAGCAAUCACAUUGGCUAUGGACUGAGCUGCAUGACUGAGAGCCUGCUUUGGCCCCCUUACACAUUUGUUUUUUCUUAUUUUCUGACCUGUUUUUGUGAUAAGCUUAGCUUGUUUAUGGACAUGCAUGAAAUGCAGCAUGUGAUUCUGUUCUCGUGCAUCUUGCUGGCUGUAUUUUAACUCCAUUGGACGUUCCCAUUGAUAGAAUAAACAUCAUUAUUCAUAUAAAUCA